CAUGCGCAACGUCAACUCCGCCCUUGCCGCGGCCGGCAUCGGCGGCAUCAAGGUUUCCACCGCGGUGAAAUCCGACGUGAUCGCCAACUCUUACCCUCCCUCCGCCGGCGUGUUCGCGUAUCCCUACAUGAAUGGCAUAGCUCAGUACCUGGCGAGCACUGGCGCGCCGCUGCUGGCCAACGUCUACCCCUACUUCGCCUACGCCGGCAACCCGCGCGAGAUCAGCCUCAACUACGCCACGUUCCAGCCGGGCACGACGGUGAGGGACGACGGCAACGGGCUCACCUACACCAACCUGUUCGACGCCAUGGUGGACUGCAUCUACGCCGCGCUGGAGAAGGCCGACGCCGGGAACGUGAGGGUGGUGGUGUCGGAGAGCGGGUGGCCGUCGGCGGAAGGGAUCGGGGCGAGCAUGGACAACGCGAGGGCGUACAACCAGGGGCUGAUCGACCAUGUCGGGCGUGGCACGCCCAAGAGGCCCGGACAGAUGGAGGCGUACAUAUUUGCCAUGUUCAACGAGAACCAGAAGACAGGGGCUGCCACCGAGAGGCAUUUUGGCCUCUUCUACCCUAACAAGUCGCCGGUCUAUCAGAUUGCCUUUUCGAAUUAGCAGCUGCCAAUAUAAAUGAGUUACAGCCUUACAGGUGAUCGAUCGAGUAAUGCUUCAUUAAAUGUUGGGCGUAUUUUAAUGUUCUCAGUAUGUUACUUUAUGUUUUAUAAUAAAAGCUACAUGAAUAUAAACUUUUCAAGGUUUCUUAUCGAUUGACAACAAUUAAAUUGGUACACAGUUAUUUUCUGAGGCCACAAUACCACGCAAAGAGAACGAAUACCGCAUCAUCAUACUUACUAUCUUUGGCUGUGUAAUAGUAUGAGGGACAUCAGACAUGUCACAAAUAACUUGUCCUGCCUCUUAGCAUGUACUUUCUUUCAGAAGUUAUAGAGAUUUGCUGUAGCGCCCGUUCCGUCGUGGCGCCUAGCGGAAAAAUUAUCUCUUAAAAACCCUAAUUGCGAAAUUUGUUUCUUUGCUUGUUGUCUAGUGUCCGUGCCAUCUCAAGAUCUCAAUCCCUGAUCUAUCGUCGAGUUCAAUUCCGAAUCCAAAUCCUUCCAAUCAAAUUCCUCCGCAAAAGUCUAUUUUGCCUCCCCCGAGGUUGAUGGGCCGAAUCUCGCUCGGCCCAUCUUCCCCUCUUCCCCGGCCCCCUCUCUCCCCGGGCGCUCUCUCUCUCUCUCUCUCUCUCCCCGGGCGCUCUCUCUCUCUCUCUCUCGCGCUCUCCCAUCUCUCCCCCCGCUCGGCCUCGCCCGUACGCUGCUCGCGCGUGCGAGAGCCGCCCCGAGCGCCUCUCUCCCCGCUCCCCCGCUCAGCCUCGCCCGCCCGCCGCGCGCGCGUGCGCGUAAGCCGCCGCGCCGAGCGCCCCCUCCCUUCCCCUCGCUCUGCCGCGCCUGCAGCCGCGCAGCCGCUCGUCCUCGCGAGCCAGCGUGUGCGCGCCCGCGCGGACGCCGCCCGUUGCUUCCCGCGCGCGCGUGCCGUGGUGGCCGACCGCCCGGUCGCCGCCGCCGUCAGCCUCUGCACGCGCCUGUCGCCAGUGUCGCCGCUCCGCUCCAAACCGCCCCGCCGUCAUUGCCGUCGUCAUCGCCCGGCCCCCGCCCCUCCGCGCGCAAGCCGCCAAGGGACGGAGCCGCGCCCCUCCUCCCUCUGCCGCGAUGCUCCCGUUCCCCUCCCCCUCUUUUUCCCGAAUCGGCAAAGGGGCAAGCCCCUUUCUCCCCCUCCUUUUCCCCUUUUUCCUCCUCGCCGGCGUCAUCCUCUUGCCGCCGCUUUGGCUGCAAGCGCCGAGCGCCAGCUCGCGCCUUAACCGUCCAAUGUCGGUUCCCCUCUCCCAAACCGACAUUGCCGUCCAUUUAAGCCCAAGCCCUCCCCCUCCAAACUCCCUCAUUUUCGCCUCCGCGCCAUUGCUGCCCUCUGUUUCGCCGUCGCCGAUCGUCGUUGCGCGUGUCGGAGGAGCCGGCACGAGCAAGGACGCGGAAGAGGACUCCGGCCGCGCCCUCUUCUUCCUCUUCCCCGGCCCGAGGCCGGAGAGAUUACUCCCGCGCCGCCGGCCUCUCGUCACAGCGCCCCUCCUCUUCUCGGUGAUGUCUCUCUCCGUUCUUCCUCCUCGCUCCAUCUCCUCCCCCUAGCUUUCGGUAGUAGCUUGAGUAGCCUCCCCGUAGUUAGCCGGCGCCGCCCCGACCGUUGCCGUCGCUCGCCGUGUGUUCGCCGCCGUCACCGCUCGAGCUCCGUAGCACCCGCUCGUCGCCGGCCUCGCUCGGCGUAGUUCCGUCCAAUCCGACGCUAGCGUCGAGUUCCCGACGCCGCGUAGAUGCUCUCACCGCCGGGAAUCGACCUCUCGUGACCUCGUCGCCGUUUCCCUCUUCUCCCGCCGCCGGUUGCCGCCGCCGCAAUCCGCCGCCGUCGAGCAACCUCCGGCGAAUCCGAGCCGUUGGCUCGUCUCCCCUUGUCACGUGCAACCGCCCGGUGUGCACGCUUUUGCCCGUAUCACCGUGGUUCGCUCCGCCGCUCGCCGCCGUCGCCCGCCGUCCAUUCGCGGCCGGGUCGUCGUCUACCUCCCGCCGGCCCGCGUGGCAGCCACGUAGGCGCCACGUCGGCGCCAGCUCAGCCUAGACCGGAUCGAGCCGACCCCGGUCAGUCCCUCCCCGUGCGCGCGUUCCACCGCGAGCCGUGAGGCUGCGCGUGGGCCCGCCGCACCUGCGUCCACCGCGGACCGCGCGCAUGCACCGCGUCCCUUCCCCGCCCGCGCGCGUGCGUCGCGUGCUCCCUCCGCACGGUGAGCCGAGCCGCUGACAAGCGGGUCCCACCCGGGACCGCGCGUGGUGAGCCCGGUCCACCGGCCCUCUCUCUCCUCCCUCCCGCGCGCGCGCGAGUUUGGGCCGCCUUGGGCCGGCCGGCCCAUUUAGCUCGGCCAGACCGCUCCAUUUCUCUUGGGCCGCGCCCUAGCCGUCCUAGAAAAGUCUAUAUUCCCUCCCUCCCUUCUUUUCUUUUUCUUUUCCCAAAAGGAUUUAAAUAAAUCCUUUUUCCUUUAGACCAAAAAUCCAAUAAUCUUAGAAAUUCAAUAUCUUCCCAACCGUAAUUCCGUUUGACUCCGUUCAACUUCUAAAAUUUCUCAAAUCUCGAGAUCUAUCUAGUGGCACGCUUAGAGGUCUUUAAUAGGGCUUUAUUUUUGCCGUUUGUUGAGUUGUCCCGUUUCGCGUGUAGUUUCGGAGCCCGAAGACCCGCAGUGCGAGGAUUUCGAGGAUCAAGCUCCAGAUCUCGAGCAAGGCAAGCCACCUUUGAACAUCUUGAGCCUAUAUUUGAAAUUUAAUUAUAUUGCUUGCGAAAUAUUAUGCAUUGAUAGGAUCACACUUAAUCUGUUGUCCCGUCUGCAAGGCAGAUUGGCAGACCUACCUAAUUUGUUGCAUUUGAUCCUUCCUUUGUUAAUUGUUAUACCAUGUCCCCUUGUAACCACCCAGUUGCACCUCGAUAUUCGUGCACUCUGUGCGAGUAUCGACGGUCGCCUUCAAACUUAAAAUCUGAGAAACAACUUGGGUAAAACUGGAGUUUUACAAAAGACUUGGAAAACCCGACACCUGGGUCGGUGCUUGCGAACUAAAUGAAUUUCCAAAACCGCGGACCGGGGAACGUACCGGGUGUACGGUUUCCCGCUCUCGCACUUAAGGACCGAUUCCUUGGAAUUUCAUCCAAACAUAAGACAAGUACGACCACAUGGGUGGAAUGGGACACCCCUGGCUGAGUAACUAGCUUAUCAGGGGAGCCUUGAUGCCGAGAGACAUGUGGAUUCGCCGGGGUGGUGUCGGGGAGGACCCCUGGGCUUCCUGGCACAGUAUGGUCUGGGACCUAACCUGUUGUUGGUCUGGGACCCCUCUCGUCGGCAUUUGGUAAACCUGUAUCGGCUUUCGAAAUGCCUUGUCAUGAAAGCUUGGAGGUCUCCCGACGUGGCUGAUCCCCACGGGCUGGGUGAUCCGGGUUAGUAAUGUCGUGUGGGUAAAGUGUACCCCCUCUGCAGAGGUUAACAAACUGCUCGAACAGCCGUGCCCACGGUCAUGGGCGUAUGUGAGGUGAUUCCUAGCGUAGUUUUGUUUGACUACUGCUUGUGAAAUUGCUGUUGUGAAAAGGGGUUCGAUGUUUGAAAAAUCUGCAGCUGAUGGGAUCAGCUAGGCCCGGGUGGCCGUUUGAAAAGUUGUUGGCCCGGGUGGCCGUUUGAAAAGCUGUUGGCCGGGUGCCAACCUUGUUGCAAUCCUAAAGACUGACACAUUGCACAUACUCCGACCGGACGAGACGCACUGUCUCAUCCGUGUCGUUUGGGAAGCACUCACUUAGACUUUUUAGAAAAGAGUUCAAACAAAAUCAAUUACGAAAACAACAGCCUUUCCUUGAAGCCUGCAUUAAACACUUAUUUCCCGUGGCUUGCUGAGUACUCCCGUACUCACCCUUGCUCUAUAUAAAUAAUCCCCCCCAGUUGCUGAAGAAGAUGAAGUGGAUCCUGCUGACGAGGAGUUCUUCCAGGAGCAAGUCGGCUACGAUGAGUUUUAGGGUUUCGGCCUAGUUCCCAAGUCGCGCCUGUGAUGAUUGGUCCAAGUCCUGGCUUCCGCUUUCCUUUUGUAAUGCAGUUGUGAGUUCAGGAUCUGUCCGCAGCCCAACAUGACUGUACUUCUACUCUAUAAUAAAGAGACCUCUGUUGCUGUGAUACUCUGUCUCCCUGUGAUACCAGCACUGUUUCCUGGGACUGGUAUCGAUUAACAGGUUAAUUUGGAGCGUGACGGGCUAGUUCCGGUCGGGACUAGUUCGGGGCGUGACACUGGUGGUAUUGCAUGGGUUGACAUCCUGGCCUAGGGCUUAAUAGGAUUAAUAGAAUACUCAUAUCAACAAGUUGCAACUUCUUUUCCGGAAGCCAAUCUCCAAAUAACUCCAGAGUUAAGCGUGCUUGGCCUGGAGCAAUUUGGGAUGGGUGAGAUAUGUGUUGGUCUGUGAGGGCAGUCUAUGACCUAUGAAAGCUAUCAGAUGUAAGCGGGCCUGGCCUGGGGGAAGGCGGGACGUUACAAAUUGGUAUCAGAGCCGACUCUCGCGGUUUCACGGGCGCGUGUGUUGCAGUUGCGCAGGCAUGGUGCGCAUGGCUGGUGUAGACCGGGAGUGGUUACACAGCAUGGCACAUGUGCUGGCACUGGACACAUGGACGUGGCCAAGAGAGGACGUUCCUGGCCUAGGGUUGAUCGACGGGGGCGUCGAUCUCUCUUAAGGGGGUGAGGGUGUAACAUCCUGGCCUAGGGCUUAAUAGGAUUAAUAGAAUACUCAUAUCAACAAGUUGGAACUUCUUUUCCGGAAGCCAAUCUCCAAAUAACUGGCCUGGAGCAAUUUGGGAUGGGUGACCGAUCGGGAAAUUCUUCCCGGGUGCACACGAGUGAGGACAAAGUGUGCAGAAAAGAUAUGUGACCGAUCGGGAAAUUCUUCCCGGGUGCACACGAGUGAGGACUGCAUGAAAAAGAUAAGAGUGAAUUACGCUUUGGGCCACAUUUUAUUACCUAAGUUUCACUUUGGACCACCCUUAAACAUAUAUUUUCACUUUGGACCGGAUAAAUUUGCCAUUGUUGCAAUUUGGACCACCACGAACGAUUUUUUUCAGUACAAUUAACGAUCUUAAACACAUCAGCUUUAGUAUACGGCCAAACUCCUAUAUGUAUGGUUCAUAUGUUUGUUGAAAGGGAAGUUAGUCAUGACGAGAAAAAUUGUUUACGGUAGUCCAAACUGCAACAAUGGUAAAUUUAUCCGGUCCAAAUUAAAAAAAUAGGUUUAAGGGUGGUCCAAAUUGAAACUUGGGUAAUAAAAGGUGGACCAAAGUGUAAUUUACUCAAAAGAUAACUAUAGGCAAGCAUGUGAAAACACACUGUUCUCUUUGAUCCACAAUCAAUAUGCAUUCAUAUAAAUAACGAAAUCUCGUAGUCAUAAGCAUGUUGCAAACAUUGACAAUACCGUUUGAUAUUCUCUUCUUGGUUUGGUCACGUAACUGAAAAAAGGUUUGCUCUUGACAGUUAUGGAUUUCAAAUGCAAUAUGGAUUGAUUGGUUGGUUGGUAGGUGCAACUCUGGGAUAUGCCUCGGAGAUCUAAGCUUUUUAGGUACAAAAAAUUCAGAACUUUGAUAAUUCCCUGUUGUGUGAUUCCUUAUUUAUUUUCUUGUAACAUUGAUAAUUGUGCAUGUGCCAAUAUCUUUAGUUUUUUCAAACGUGAAAGAAAGUAUGGUCUGUUUAUUUACUGUCAGGAAAAAAAACAAUUAUUUGUGAAGUAGAAAGUUAAUUUGGACUUUUUCUGCAGUUGAAGAUAGCAUGCAUAUAACGUUAAGGAUUAAUUUGAUUCUAAUUUAUUUAUCAGGAAGUUUCUUGGACCUUAGUUAGUAACUCUCAUUAUAUACAUAUUUGUGUUAUUACAUCUAUGCCCUACGGGCUGCAGCUAUUAUUGGAGGCUGGUGCAUUUUCCUAACUGCCAUUUACAUUGUCAAAACUUUCUUUUGUGCAAACUCUCUCUUUUCAACAUCGUCAACAGGAAGAGCCAGGAGGAUAAUUUUUUCGAGGCAGCGACAUAAAUCAGUUCGUUCUUUGGUCACCUGGUACCGAUGGUUCAUUUUAAACACUCCAUGACGCAACCUGUCUCCUGUUAUGCGAAAAAUGGAAUCACAAUCAGACUACAGUGCAGCAUGCCCCUCCUGAUGAUUUUUAUAUUCGAUGAUAGGCGAGACAUAUUUUUUUCUGCAUUUUUAAUUGCAAGUUGCUACCACAUGUUUGUUUUAUAUAAUUUCUUUAUCACAGAUAAAAAAAGUUUUAUGUGGCCAAUUACGAGAAUGCUAAUUGAGCGCCUUUGGUGACAAUAUUACUACAUUGAAUGCACACCAACGAAUUGUAAAUCAGAUCUGAAGCACUUUUUGCCAUUUUGGAUCUAAACACUAGUAGCAAAACUUGACAAUUUGGCAUUUAGCAUUUGCUAGUCCAUAGUAGUAAAUUGUGCCAAAAAGUGCUUUGGGACCACUCACUCUCUCUUUCUCUCUCUCACUUUAGUGCUAGAAUAGCAAAAGUUUAGGAUGCAUCUAAACACCAACUAGUACUUUUACAAUAUCAAAACUUUUGCCACCAAAACUUUUGCUAUUUGCCAUUCCAAAUAGAUCUAAACAGGCCCUGAACUCCUUUUUACCUUUUUAUUUCACUUCAACGUUAAUACUAUCCUCAAUAUUUCCUACUUUGAUUGGUAACAAGGGUUGCUUGAUUCAAAUAUUAGCUCUUUGAUUAUAUAGUGGCUUUGUAUAAAAAGCAUGAUUUCACCUUAAUGUAGGACCAUUCUUCCAUUCGACUGUUGACUAUAUUGACUAUGUUUCCCUUGCAGCAGAGGAUGGGAAGCACCAUCACCGGUCAUGGUCUUGACUUUGGAGAGGCAAGGAAAAAGAGCUGAUGAGAUGGGUCAUGGAUGGUGGCAGUGGCGGGAAACUAUUUUAAUUCCUCGAGGGGAUAUCCUCUCGUUAUUUGCAUGUCACUCAAAUGGUUAUGAAAAAAAUUGAGAAGGUGUAUUAACAUGUGAUAUGUCACGCCCCGAGCUAGUCCCGACUGGAAUUAGCCCGUGACGCUCCAAAUUAACCUGUUAAUCGAUACCAGUCCCAGGAAACAGUGCUGGUAUCACAGGAAGAUAGAAUAUCACAGCAACAGAGGUCUCUUUAUUAUAGAGUAGGAGUACAGUCAUGUUGGGCUGCGGACAGAUCCCGAGCUCACAACUGCAUUACAAAAGGGAAACGGAAGCCGAGACUUGGACCAAACAACACAGGCGCGACUUGGGAACUAGGCCGAAACCCUAAAACUCAUCGUAACCGGCUUGCUCCUGGAAGAACUCCUCAUCAGCAGGAUCCGCUUCAUCUUCAUCAGCAACUGGGGGGAAUAUUUAUAUAGAGCAAGGGUGAGUACGGGAGUACUCAGCAAGCCAGGGGAAAUAAGUGUUUAAUGCAGGUUUCAAGGAAAGGCUGUUGUUUUCGUAAUUGAUUUUAUUUGAACUCUUUUCUAAAAACAUCUAGGUGAGUGCUUCUCAAACGACACGGUUGAGACAGUGCGUCCCGUCCGGUCGGAGUAUGUGCAAUGUAUCAAUCUUUAGAUCUUAAAACAAGGUUGGCACCCGGCCAACAGCUUUUCAAACGGCCACCCGGGCCAACAACUUUUCAAACGGCCACCCGGGCCUAGCUGAUCCCGUCAGCUGCUGAUUUUUCAAACAUCGAACCCCUUUUCACAACAGUAAUUUCACAAGCAGUUGUCAAACAAAACUACGCUAGGAAUCACCUCACAUCCGCCCAUGACCGUGGGCACGACUGUUCGAACAGUUUGUUAACCUCUGCAGAGGGGGUACACUUUACCCACACGACAUUACUAACCCGGAUCACCCAGCCCGUGGGGAUCAGCCACGUCGGGAGACCUCCAAGCUUUCAUGACAAGGCAUUUCCAAAGCCGACACAGGCUUACCUUAUGCCGACGAGAGGGGUCCCAGACCAACAACAGGUUAGGUCCCAGACCAUACUGUGCCAGGAAGCCCAGGGGGGUCCUCUCCGACACCACCCCGGCGAAUCCACAUGUCUCUCGGCAUCAUGGCUCCCCUGAUAAGCUAGUUACUCAGCCAGGGGUGUCCCAUUCCACCCAUGUGGUCGUACUUGUCUUUUGUUCGGAUGAAAUUCCAAGGAAUCGGUCCUUAAGUGCGGGAGCGGGAAAACCGUACACCCGGUACGUUCCCCGGUCCGCGGUUUUAGAAAUUCAUUUAGUUCACAAGCACCGACCCAGGUGUCGGGUUUUCCAAGUCUUUUGUAAAACCCAAGUUUUACCCAAGUUGUUUUUCAGAUUUUAAGUUUGAAGGCGACUGUCGAUACUCGCACAGAGUGCACGAAUAUCGAGGCGCAACUGGGUGGUUACAAGGGGACAUGGUAUAACAAUUAACAAAGGAAGGAUCAAAUGCAACAAAUUAGGCAGGUCCGCCAAUCUGCCUUGCAGACGGGACAACAGAUUAAGUGCGAUCCUAUCAAUGCAUAAUAUUUUGCAAGCAAUAUAAUUAAAUUUCAAAUAUAGGCUCAAGAUGUUCAAAGGUGGCUUGCCUUGCUCGAGAUCUGGAGCUUGAUCCUCGAAAUCCUCGCACUGCGGGUCUUCGGGCUCCGAAACUACACGCGAAAUGGGACAACUCAACAAACGGCGAAAAUAAAGCCUUAUUAAUGACCUCUAAGCAUGCCAUUAGGUAGAUCUCGAGAUUUGGGGAAUUUUGGAAGUUGAACGGAGUCAAACGGAUUUACGGCGGGGAAGAUAUUGAAUUUCUAAGAUUAUUGGAUUUUUGGUCUAAAGGAAAAGGAUUUAAUUAAAUCCUUUUUGGAAAAGAUAAAGAAAAGAAAAGAGGGAGGGAUUAUAGACUUUUCUCGGGCGGCUAGGGCGCGGCCCGAGAGAAAGAGCGGCUCGGCCGAGCUUAACGGGUCGGCCGGCCCAAGAAGGCGGCCCAGAGCGGCCCAAGACGCGCGCGCGCGGAGGAAGGAGAGAGAGUCCGGUGGACCGGGCUCACCACGCGCGGUCCCGGGUGGGACCCACUUGUCAGCGGCUCGGCUCACCGUGCGGAGGGAGCACGCGGCGCGGCGCUAGGGUGGAGGAUGGACGUGGUGCACGCACGCGGUUCGCGGAGGACGCAGGUGCGGCGGGCCCACGCGCAGCCCCACGGCUCGCGGUGGAACGCGCGCACGGGGAGGGACUGACCGAGGUCGGCCCGUCCCGACCUCGGCUGAGCUGGCGCCGACGUGGCGCCUACGUGGCUGCCACGUGGGCUGGCGGGAGGUAGACGACGACCCGGCCGCGAAUGGACGGCGGGCGGCGGCGGCGAGCGGCGGAGCGAACCACGGCGAUACGGGCAAAAGCGAGCACACCGGGCGGUUGUUCGUGAUGAGGGGAGACGAGCCAACGGCUCGGAUUCGCCGGAGAGAGCUUGACGGCGGCGAAUCGCGGCGGCGACAACCGGCGGGGAGGGAAGAGGGAAACGGCGACGAGACCACGAGGGGUCGAUUCCCGGCGGUGAGAGUAUCUACGCGGUUUCGGGAACUCGAUGCUAGCGUCGGAUUGGACGGAGCUACGCCGAGCGAGGCUGGCGACGUGCGGGUGCUACGGAGCUCGAGCGGCGACGGCGGCGAGCACACGGCGAGCGACGGCAACGGCUGGGGCGGCGCCGGCUAGCUACGGGGAGUCUACUCGUGCUACCACCGAAAACUAAGGGGGGGGAGAUGGAGCGAGGAGGAAGAACGGAGGGAGACACUACCGUGCGGGACGGGGCGCUGUGACGAGAGGCCGACGGCGCGGGAGUAAUCUCUCCGGCCUCGGGCUGGGGAAGAGGAAGAAGAGGGCGCGGCCGAAGUCCCCUUCCGCGUCCUCGAACGCACCGGUCCUCCUGGCGCUCGGCGAAGGACGGCGGAGGCGAGACAGAGCACGGGGGCGGCGGUAAUGGCACGGAGGCGAAUGGAAGAGGAAGGGAAAGGGGAGGCUGGGGUUUAAAUGGGCGGCAAUGUCGGUUUGGGAACCGACUUGCGCGGUCAAGGGCGCGAGCUGGCGUUCGGCGGUCACGGCCAAAGCGGCGACAGGGAGGAUGACGCCGGCGAGGAGAAAAAAGGGGAAAAGGAGGGGGAGAAAGGGGGCUUGCCCAUUUGCCGAUUCGGGAAAAAGGAGGAGGUGAGCGGGGGCGACGCGGCAGAGGGAGGAGGGAUGCUGCCUCCAUCCCUUGGCGGCUUGCGCGCGGAGUGGCGGGGCCGGGCGAUGACGACGGCGAUGACGGCGGGGCGGUUUGGAGCGGAGCGGCGACACUGGCGACAGGCGCGUGCAGAGGCUGACGGCGGCGGCGACCGGGCGGUCGGCCACCACGGCACGCGCGCGCGGCUCGCAACGGGAGGCGCGGCGGAUGGAGUGGCGCGGCUCGGGCACGCGCGCUGGCUCGCGGGGCCAAGCGGCUGCGCGGCUGCAGGCGGCAGGGCAGCGGGACCGGGCGGCGCAGACGCGACGCGACACGGGCGGCAACCAAGCGGGUGCGCGCGCGAACGAGCGCGGGGAGCGGCAGCGAGGGAGCGGAGAGGGAAGACUCGGCUCGGCGCCGGCGACUCACGCGCACGCGCGCGGGCAGAGCGGAGAGAGAGAGGGAGAGAGGGAGCGGGAGCGCGCCGGGGGAGAGAGCGAGAGAGAGAGAGGGCGCCGGGGAGAGAGGGGAAAGGGCCGGGGGAGAGGGGAAGAUGGGCCGAGAGAAAAUUGGCCCAUCGACCCCGGGGGAGGCAAAAUGGACUUUUGCGGAGGAAUUUGAUUUGGAAGGAUUUGGAUUCGGAAUUGAACUCGACGAUAGAUCGGGGAUUGAGAUCUUGAGAUGGCACGGACACUAGACAACAAGCAAAGAAACAGAUUUCGCAAUUAGGGUUUUUAGGAGAUAAUUUUCCCGCUAGGCGCCACGACGGAACGGGCGCUACAUGAUAUAACACUACACAAUCAUGCAGGUUCAAAUUCAACUUCUUCGGCUGUGUUUAGAUCCAAAGUUUGGAUCCAAACUUCAGUCCUUUUCUAUCACAUCAACCUGUCAUACACACACAACUUUUCAAUCACAUCAUCUCCAAUUUCAACCAAAAUCCAAACUUUGCGCUGAACUAAACACAGCCUACAUCUCGUAACAAAAAAACAAAUUAAACCGCAGCUAGUUAACGUAUAUUCAGAGUCAAAUUUAUUUUUUUUGUUGUAAGAUGUAGGAGUUGAAUUUUUACUUGCAUGUUUAUGGAGUGGUAUAUCACAUGUUAAUACAUUUUCUUAAUUUUUUUUAAUUUUCUUCAUAGCCAUUUAAAUAACAUGCAAACAACGAGUGGAUAUCCCCUCGAGGGAUCAAAAUCCACUUCCGGUAGUGGCCACAAGAAGGGAAAGGAGAAUGUCACAAUAGCUAGAGAUUGGGCCCUUCUGGUUGACGAAUCUGAUGUCAUUGCAAUUGAUUAAGUUUGCUACCCAUAUGUUUCUCCUUCUAAAAUAUAGAAGAUUUAUUCAUGUAGUCAACUAAACUCUAAACUUUUCCUUUCAAUUUCAGCAUGAACACACUUAUCAAUCAUUGGUGUUCUGAUUCUGCACUUUGCAGGGACAUGGACUUUCUUUCAAGGGAAAGAGAAAGCAGAAUUUGCCAUCUUGUGAUUAAAAUGGUUCCAUCGACCAAAUGGAUUCUCAACUGAACUCAUGAAAGUAUACGAAGGUGAAACCCUAAAAGAAUAACGAUUCUCCGCUUCGCUCCAGCCCAAGCCUCCGGCGAUGGUUAUUAUGUGCAAAUGAAUUUGAAUCACAACUCAAAAAAAAAAACACCCUUUUGUAUGCAACAUCACCAUUUGCUAGCUAUUCAAGUCUGUUUGGCGACAACUCCACUGAUACCUUUGGACUGGUGAUGCACUGAAUGCUGUUGUUGCAGACAUGGAAUAAAUUUAUUGUGGUUUAGGUGUUUGCAAAAUUUUAUGGUUUAAGCCAUUUUUAGAGUAAGUUUGUCUCAAAUGCCUGGAGGUCACUGAGUUUGUGGACAAAUCGUGAGAAUCUACAGCAAGGACAAUUGAGUGAUUUUUGUCAACUCGUGAUUUAUUUGCAUGUUACCGAAAAAAACUCACCGGUUUUAAUACUCACAUGUUUUCCAAGUGUGAAUUAACAUGACGAGUUAAUCCUGCAUCUAUAUUUUAAAGAGUUUGGCUUUCAAGUGUGAAUUUACUCUAAAUGACGAGUGCUCAUAUCAGUACACCCAAACGUAGGUUUAGCAGUAUUUGUGUAAUGCCUUUUGUUUCUUAAAUGGUCCUUACAUUUUAACUCAACGUUUGUUUCUCCUUUUUGUUGCGAUCUUUUUGUGCGCUAUAUCUUUGGACGCUCUCCAUGCUCAAUUGCUCAUGUGCAAUUCUACUCAAGCCUCUAUGGGGCCUUUUAGUGUGUAUAAAGCCUUUUCAAGUCUGCCUGAUACUUGAGUCAUCUUCUCCAUAGUUAGACGUAGUAUACGGUUUCGCUGAACGAUCAAUAAUUAUUUGUAAUGUUGGUAUCGCUUUCAAAUCAGUACAAUUAUUUUUAAACAAAAGCAAGAUGCUUGAUAUAUUUACAUCCAUGGACGUGCUGUCUUACUGUGCUGUUAUAUUAAUCGAUUUUCGUUGUACGAGCCGAAAAACUUUUUUUUUUUGCGUUGCAACGCACGGGCUCCUAACUAGAGGGAGUAAAAGAAGAAAUCCUUGCAUGUUGAGUCAGUCAAUAUGGCGUAAGAAUAAGUUCAGCUGCCAUCCCUCAACUUUACACCGAGUUUGUUUGACAUCCUUUAUUCUCAAUACCAGAAAUAUUCACCUCUAAACUAUACAAAACUGUUCAAAUUAGGUCCCAUGGUAAUAUAGAUGCCUGGUUUUGCUGACGUGGCAUCCUAGUCGGCAAAAUAGAAAUAAGAUAAUAUGUGGGUCCCACAUGUAAGUGAAAUAGAAGAAAAAUGUGGGACCCACCUAUCAGCACCAUCAUCUUUCUUUUCUUCCCAAACAUGGGACAGCCGGCGGGAGGGGAGGGCGCUGGCGGGAGAGGCCGCACCAGCGGGAGAGAGGGGAGAGGCCGCCGGCUGUGCCGGCAGGAUAAGGGGGAAAGGAGGCAGGCCACGCCGACAGGAGAGGGGUGAGAGGCCGUCGGCCUUCUCCAGGCGGAGAUCCUCAGCCCAGACACGGACUCCAAGAGACCAGGACAAGCGCCACCGCCCGUUAUCGGCGGCGCUGCUGCUACAUCCGUAGCGCGCAGGCGGUAAGGGAACGAUGGAGAAGCCGAGCACGUGGGAGAUGACGGCGUAGGUGGCGUCAUCGGCCUUCCUAUCGACAACACUGUCUUUGGGACGCCGCAGCCUAAGGACGCGGUGGAACAACUCCGGUGAGGGCACGAAGAUGGUGAAGGCGAGGUCUCCCGGUGAAACCCCAAGCGCGUCGUCGUCGUCCUCUCCCAGCCUACUAUGUCCGCCACGUCGUCGUUGUCCUCACCGUCCGUGGCCGGCUCCAUCUGCCGUCGUCCUUUGCACCCCACCGCCGCCGCCACCCCACUCCGCCCGCCGUAGCACAGUGACACCCACACCACACCCUCUCUCAGAGGUGCCGCCGCUCGGAACCGCGGAGCCGUCGCUCACACGCCGUGCUGCGCCCGCCGCCCCCUGCCUGCUACGCCCUCUGCGCUCGCCUCUGGCCGCUGGAACUCCGCCUGCCGCCUCCUGCCUGCUCCACCCACCGCCACCGCCGCUUGCCUGCUCGCCUACCCACCAGCCUCUAAGGCUCGGGGAAGAAGAGAAGAGGAGAAGAGAGGAGAAGAAAGAGAAAAGAAGAAGAAAAAAGAAAAAGAAAAGAGAAAAAGAUAGGACACUGACAUGUGGGUCCCACCGUAUGCCACGUCAGCGGAACCGGGGAAAAAUGGGUCAAUACUGUCUUGAGAUCUUUUUUUGUACGGUUUGUGAUAGUUGAAGGAUAGAGAUUUCUGGUAUUGCGGAUUGGGGGCCCUAGGCAAACUGGACUUAAAGUUGAGGGAUGUCAGGUGAACUUAUUCCAUAUGGCGUAUAGGACCGAGGAUGCCCACUGGUCCAUCGAGGUGAAAACAUAGGCCUCUGUAGCCGGCUUGCAGCUGCAGCCCGCGCAACUGCAAUAAAACGGCAGCCGAACAGGCCCAUUAGCGAGUUUGUGGUUUUUCAUAUUUGUAUGAGCUCCUAAGUACGUGUUCCAGUCAGCAAAAAACACGAGUAGCUUAAAUACCUGGAAGUUCAGCGAAACAGGAUGGCGGAGAUUAAUUUAGUGAAAUAAUCUGAGUCUAUGAGUUCCAAUAGAAAGAUGUCUACAACUACAAUGCAAGUUUGUCUCGUGAUCAAAUAAUGAAAACUAACUUUGUCUCUAGCUUCUGUCUGACCACCGGUUUCUUUGAUAAGAUGGGCCAGUGCGCGCAUGGAUAUAUAGGCCCUUUUUCGUCAAAUAAAAAAUUUUAGGUGUCAUAUCGGAUGUUUGACCGGAUGUCGGAAGAAGUUUUCAGACACGAAUGAAAAACUAAUUUCAUAACUCGCCUGGGAACCGCAAGACGAAUUUGUUGAGCCUAAUUAAUCCGUCAUUAGCACAUAUAGGUUACUGUAGCACUUAUAGCUAAUCAUGGACUAAUUAGGUCCAAAAGAUUCGUCUCGCGAUUUCCUCCCUAACUGUGUAAUUAAUUUUCAUUUUAUCUAUAUUUAAUACUUCAUGCAUGUAUCCAAAAAUUUGAUGUGAUGUUUUUGGGAAAAAAAAUUUUGGUAAUCAAGCUACUCAGCGAAACACAACUAGCCAUCUUGGCAUUUGUUCGUAAAUGACAUUUCCCUAGAUAGUGUAGUAAUAUAAUCAAGAGUGAUUACAAGCGUCGAUAAUGAAUUUAAUUAGCCAACUUAAUUUGACUGUUAAUAGCCAACAGUAAACUUCUCUUGUUAGCCCAACAGAUCAAGAGUGGUUACAAGCGUAGAUACGGACUUAAUUUGACUGUUAACAGCCAACUUAAGUUGACUAUUAACAUUUAAAUUAAUUAAGUUGACUAUGUUACAUAGCCAACUUAAUUUGAAUGUUAGUAGUUGGCUAUUACCAGUCAAAUUUACAUAACCAACAGAUUAAGAGUGGUUACAAGCGUAGAUAUGGACUUUUCUCGUGAAAUAUCACACCAUCGUCUUACGCUAUAUAAGGCCACACAUUCUUUCCUAGGGAAAAUCACAAGCUAGCAUCGAAGCAUACCCGAGAUACUCGAUCGAUCAAGCAGUGAAACCGAAUUCGCCUAGCUGUAUAUUUGACCAAAUGGAAGGUAUAUUUAGAUUCAUUUCCCUCUCCUUUUCUCUUGAGGAUCUGAUCUACUUGUGGUAACUAAUUCCUCUCAAGAAUUGUUAUGAUAUAUACAAUAAAUUCUCAUGUCCUAUAACCGUGUUACAAUAGAUGAAUGUCAUUUUUUCUUGCAUGCAGUCGCACACACUCGCACGUACUACAGGUAGUUAUAUGGGCAAGAUUUUGAGAUGGAGGUAGCUAGUCGCUAUUUAGAGUAAACUAAAGAAUUGAAAAUAAUACAUUUUGGGGGAAAUUUCCUUUUUGCCACUUGUCGAAACCAUAUUGUACUUCCCAUCAUCGAAAUUUUACACUUAUCUAUUUUGCCACUAUUUCAUUAGUAUUCAUUUAUCUUUUGCCACUAUCAUUAUAUGCCACUAAGUAAUAUGAUAUUUUAGAUUUUUUAAUCUAAAAUUUAGAAGUUUUUGUCCCAAGGGUAUUUUGGUUAUUUGGACAAAAUUGUACAUUACUAACGGAGGUUAACCGGACGAUGAUGGUAUAUCGUAGAAGUUAAACAAAAGUCGAUGGCAUAUUUUAUAACGUGACAAAGUCAGUGAAAAAUCGUAGACAUAUGACAAACUUAGUGGCAUAUAAUGGAUUAUCUCUAGCAUGAAACCCAAUUUUACUUUUUUUCCCUAAAAAUAUAUUUCUCCAUAUUCUAUAUCGGUGAUAAUAAAUAUGGUAGCGCGUGAGACCUAAAAUUGCAUAGAUACUGAAGACAAUGGUUUAGAUAGAUUUAAGCCCUCUCGAAGACAUGACUUCGGUUUUCUAAUCUAUUACACGGGUCUCCAAUUGGAGCUCUAUACACUACCUUUAGGCUAUGUUCGGCAUCUCUGGUUCCCAACCGGAACAGUAUGCACGGAAAACGGAGCGGUCCAUUAGCGCGUGAUUAAUUAAGCAUUAGCUAUUUUUUUCAAAAAGGAUUAAUUUGAUUUUUUAAGCAACUUUCAUAUAGAAACUUUUUGCAAAAAACACACUGUUUAGCAGUUUGAAAAACGUACACGCCGAAAACGAGAGGGGAGAGUUGGAAAAACAGAGUGCCGAACACAACCUUAGGAUAGAAGGCAACAUGACGACCGGUCCUACUCUAUCACUGGCCUAUUAUAUCAUAUAGCUCACCACCUAUCUGUAAUCGGAUGUGUAGACCGUGUGUACACUUAGUAACCAUACUCUCCACAAUAUUACUACUCCCCUUUUCAUAUUAUAAUUCAUUUUGAUUUUUUUCUAGUCAAACUUUUUUUAAUUUGACUAAGUUUAUUAAAGAAACACAGUAGCAUUUUCAACGCAAAACAUAUAUAUUAUCAAAAUAAUAUAUUCAAUGUUAGAUUUAAUGAAACUAAUUUGGUAUUUUAGAUGUUACUAAAUUUUUCUAUAAAGUUGAUCAAACUUGAUUAAGUUUGAUGAGGAAAAAUCAAAGCGACUUAUAAUAUAAACCAGAGGAAGUAUCUUUUAAGUUGCUAUAAUUUACUUUUCUUGACAAUAUUAGGGUACAUGUUAAAAUUUCAAGUGCUACUUUAUUUUGAACUUUUACAAGGGAACAGUGGUUGUUUAAUUAGGGACAAACUUAACGGUCAACUGACAUUGAUUACAAAUUUGUUUUUAAUAACUACAUUUAUUAGUGAUGGCAAACGAAAGAUAUGCACUAACGAAAGAGUGGUGAAAAUGAUAAGUUGCAAGAGUAAAUUUCAUAAAACCCCACCUACUAUAGUCUAAGUUUUACAAAAUUAUAGGAAUUUUAGCACAUGACACGUAACCUCGGGUAUUAUGAUUCUAAAGUUUCACAAAACCACACCGUUAACCAAUUUAACAUCUAUUUUCAAAUUUUAAAAAACAUUACUUACAUAGAUGUAACAUUUAUAUGAUUGAUAAAUAGCUAAGAAAUUGAUUGUAGAACUAAAAAAUUUGAUAGAUCAAAAUUAAGAUGAUUGUGGGUUUAUGAAACUAUAUGGCUAUAAUACAUGGAGUUAUAUGUCAUGUGCAACUUAGACUACAAUACACGUUGUUAGGUCAAAUUUACUCUUAAGUGCAAUUUUUUCAUGGUUGAAUAGAGAAUACAUGUGUAAGGUGGCAAAAAUAAAAAGAAUCCUACAUUCUUUUUUGCGUUCCUAUGAGCUUUCAUUCGAACGAAAAUCUAAAAACGCACAUAGCACCACACCCACCUAUUCGGUUGUGCAAGCUCCACCUCGUAUUAAGUGGCGGACCCAGUAUGGUCGAAGGCCCGUCCCAACCCAUCGCAUAUUAAACCGUGCUUAAGUUUUCGUAAAAUCUAAAUCUAGAGCAUCUCGUUUUAAUUGUAACUAGUGACGAAGCAUCACAUGACUAGAAAAAUCUACUUAACUAUAGUACUAGUCCAUCAAACAAGUAUAGAAAAUAUAUUCCUAUCACCUAUGUUUUAAAUAAAAUUUUCUCUUAAAUUACUCAUCCGAUCUACGAUUCAAUUACACCGUUAUGUCCGUAACAACUAAAUCUUUAUAAUAAGAUCUCAUAUGAUUAUAUAUUUUUAUGAAAAAUUACAAAUUACUUUUAGAUUUUAUUAAAUUACUUCUUGAACAUAUAAAAGUAAAUUCAAUAAAGGCUAAACGUAAUUUAAAUAUAUUAUAGAAGUAACUAAAAAAAUAAAGUAACUUGUCACGAUAUUAAAAGUAAAUCUUGGUGGGGGGUAACUACAUAUGUCUAUCUAAAAAUUAAAUUUAAUUGACAUAUUAUAGAAUUAACCAAUAAAUUAAACUGUUCACUAAAUUUAUAAAAAGUAAUUUAAUCAAAUAUAACAGUAAUUUAUAUAUAUAUAUAUAUAUAUAUAUAUAUAUAUAUAUAUAUAUAUAUAUGUGAUAAAAAUAACUUACAUCUAUUAUAAAAGUAAUUUACAACAUAUAUGUUUAUUUUCAUUAGAAUAUAAUGAUGCAAAGAUUUAGUUACAACGAAUACAAUAGUAUAAUUGGAUUGUAAAUCAGAUAUGUAAUUUGAAAGAGAAGUUUAUUUGAAGUUUAGCUAUUAGGACUCUUAUUGUUGAAUGCUUGUAUACUCCCUACGUGAGAAAAAGAUAAAUUCUAAUUAGACAUAUCUAUUUUCAGAAAGCACACUCGAUUGAAAAGGGUACUAGUUAUGAAAAGGAUUAGGUAGCUGGUUUAGACUAUCACGCUGUGUAGCUGUGUAGUGACGUCCGUAAGUUUUACAUGGUAAAAAGACGGCUCACAUCGUGGGCUUUCACGGCCCAGGUAGCCCGAGGCUUUGGUUCCCCAAUGUCGUUAUUAUUGUCUUUCGCAUGAUCGUAUCCGCACGUAUGUACACGUUUGUAGAAUUUUUUUUAUUUAUAAUUUUUCUUAUUAAAAGUUUUACAAAAAUAAUUUUCCAUUUUGAAAAUUGACGGAAAUAGUCGCCUACCGCCCUCUGGGAGGGCGAUUUUUAAAAAUCGCCCUCCCAGAGGGCGGCGAAAAUGACGUGGCAGACGGCCGUUCGCUCUCGGGCGACGGCCGUCAACGAAAUUUGCAGGCGGCCCCCUUGCCGCCCUCCGCGAGGGCGAUUUUGUACUGUGCGGGGGGCCGCCUGCAAAUGGGCGGCGAGGGGGGGCAUGGAAAUUUGCAGGCGGCCCCCUUGCCGCCCUCCGCGAGGGCGAUUUUGCACUGUGCGGGGGGCCGCCUGCAAAUGGGCGGCGAGGGGGCAUGGAAUUUUGCAGGCGGCCCCCUUGCCGCCCUGGGGGAGGGCGAUUUUUGCCUCCCCCCUAUAAAGCCCAGCCCCUCCCCUAUGAAAUUUCAUUAUAUUCACUAAAAAUCCAAAAAAAACGAAAGAGAGAGAGGGGAGGGCAGCAGAAGGGGAGCGGCGAAGCCCUGCUGGUUCGCUCACUUCAUCACAGGUAUGCUCCCAUACAUCUUUUGCAUUUGUACUAAUAUAUUACGUUUGAGUACAUAUGUUGCGUUUUAGUUUUAGUUCCAUAUAUUUUAGCAGAUCUGUAGCACACAGCACAUAUGUGUAGAUCCAGAGCAUAGAAUAUAAUAGUAUGAAUUGAGACAUAGACAGUAGUGUUAAUUGUAAGAUGUAGUUUAGUUUGAUCUGGAGAAUGUAACCUACUUUUAGAAAUUUAGAGAACAAUAUUGUAGAGAAUGUAACUUAGGGCGUAGUACAGAAAUGCGAGGUUAACGCAGUUAUUGUUUUCAUCAGGCACAAUGUCAAGUAAGGUCACAUUUCAGAUAGUUCACGGUGAAGGAAAUAUUAGAUUUGGUCCAGAUGGUGUUGAUCUGUCAGAUUUUGUAAUGACAUCUAAGGGCAUCGAUAGGCCUGCGGAGAGAACAUUUCAGUCAAUUUAUAGUUGGUUGUUGAGAGGAUUUAGAAUAGACCAAGAAGUAUACACAAUGUCAGUAUCUGUUGUAGUGAGUCGUGCAAUAGAAGGUUAUUUUUGGGAACUAAUGCCGAUGGACAGCACUGCUGCUUGGAGACGGUAUGUGGAAAUGGCUUUUGAACGGUCAUGGCCCCUCGUUAUAUUUGUGUCGGUACAAGAGAAAGAUACAAAUGUUUCAAUGCAAACCGAAGAUGUGGAGGGUCCUAGCAAUGCAGGGGAUGUUGUUGGACCAUCGAUGCAAAAUGAGGAAAAUCAACCAAGGGAGGAGCAGGCCAUGGGCAUGGCGGAUGAGGGGGAGAGAGUCGGUAUAAUUGUUGAUGAAAUGGAGAGGGAAGAUUCGGAUAAUGAGCAAGCGGAGGACGACGCAUCAUCCGAUGAGGAAGGUGAUGUAAUGGCCACUGAUUGGGCAAAUGAGGACUUCUCUGGUCUUGUUAUAUCAGAGGGUGAUCAUGUACCCUGGGAGUAUAAGGAGUACGAGGUAAUUGAGGGUGCAAGGUAUGCUCAUAAGGAUGAGAUGAAGGAGGCGGUGAAGCAUUGGGCAGUUUCAUUGCAGAGAGAGUUUAGGGUGGUCAAGUCAACAAAUUAUGUGUAUGAAGUGAGGUGCAUGAAGGAAGAUUGUCCGUGGCGUGUCCAUGCAUAUAAGGCUAAAUGGAAUGAUUAUUGGAAAGUUAGCAUUGUGACCGAGCACAAGUGCUACUUACAAGGGGUGGAGAAGUAUCACCGAAACAUCACUUCAGCUUUUGUGGCAAGUGAGAUGUACAGCAGUGUUGUUGGUAACAUUGGCUUUGAACCAAAAUCAAUUAUUAGGCACAUCGAGAACAAAUUCAAGUACACCAUAAGCUAUGCAAAGGCCUGGAGAGCCAAACAAAAGAUCAUUGAGAUGAGGUAUGGCACAUUUGAAGCUUCUUAUGAUAAUUUGCCUCGUUUGUUAGCCACCAUUGCCCAGAGGAAUAAUAAUACUUACUAUGACCUACAUACAUUUACAUCGGUUGAAGAUAGAACAAAGAGUGUGCUGCAAAGAGCCUUUUUCUCAUUGGGUGCUUGCAUCAAUGCUUUUGUGCAUUGUCGACCUGUUCUAUGCAUAGAUGGAACUUUUAUGACAGGUAAAUACCGAGGUCAGAUAUUGACAGCAAUUGGGUGUGAUGGGAACAACCAGGUUCUACCUAUGGCUUUUGCAUUUGUAGAGAGUGAGAACACUGAAAGCUGGUACUGGUUCCUAGAGAGAGUGCACAUUGCAGUGGUGCGUAUGAGGCCCAACGUUUGCCUUAUACAUGAUCGUCAUGCGGGUAUGUUGCGGGCUAUUGACUACUUGCAGAACGGUUGGGAUGAGAAGGGACUUCCAGCUAAGUGGCCUGAUGUUCGGAGUCGGUGGUGCAUGCGUCACAUGGGUGCAAAUUUCUACAAGCAAUUCAAGAACAAGCAUCUUAUGGAGCUCUUUAAGAGGCUCUGUGCACAGAACCAAGAGAAGAAAUUUAAUGAGUUGUGGGACAAGUUGGAUGAGUUGACAACGAAGCAAACAGAUGAGCAAUCUCGCAGACCACAAGUUGAAGGUGACGAGCCUCCCAUACCUCUUGGUGCAUUACAUGAUGACCCACCAACAAUGAGAAGGAGGUCAGGGUCGGCCAUCAGAAAUUUCUCUCAGUGGAUUGAGAAUGAGCCUAAGGAGAAGUGGGCUCUAUUGUUCGACACCGAUGGAUCUCGGUAUGGCAUAAUGACAACCAAUUUGGCAGAGGUGUACAACUGGGUAAUGCGAGGAGUUCGGGCACUUCCAUUGGUUGCUAUUGUUGAAUUCAUCCUUCACGGCACGCAAGCCUACUUUAGGGAUCGAUACAAGAAAAUUGGUCCGUCCAUGGCCGAUAACAACAUAGUGUUUGGCAACGUAGUGACAAAGUACAUGGAAGAUAAAAUCAAAAAGGCACGGAGACAUAGAGUUGUUGCUCAAGGCACACAAGUGCAUCGGUAUGAAAUAAUGUGUGUUGAUAGGAGCAGGCGUGGUAUCUAUCGCAAGCAAGCCGUGCAGGAAUGUGUCUUGAAGGCGGAUGGUGGAUGUACCUGCAGUUGUAUGAAGCCGAAGCUUCAUCACCUUCCUUGCUCACACGUUCUUGCUGCUGCCGGUGAUUGUGGCAUAUCUCCCAAUGUGUACGUCUCAAAUUAUUUCAGGAAAGAAGCAAUCUUUCAUACAUGGAGUGAGGAGAUAUAUGGGUUCGGGAUCUCAGGAUCUUACACAACGCUGAGUGCCCAAGUUUUUUAUAUUCCAGAUCCAUCUAAGUUUAGGGUGAAAAAGGGUCGACGCCAAACUAGACGCAUCAGAAAUGAUAUGGAUGAGUCAGAAGCAGGUGGGAGGACUUUACGCUGCAGCAAGUGUGAUCUGCGCGGCCAUACUUACAAGACAUGCCCGAAGAAUGCAGAAGUUCCAAGCGGCGCAGAUGCUAGUCCAUCUGGACAGGCAAGUGAUGGUAGGCGACCACCUGGUGAAGGAACAACAAGCAGGCGCGCAAGGCCAAGGCGUCGUCGCGCAGCAGGCGAUUCCAUGGUGUAACAAUGCUUUCGAUUUAGGAAAUAAAAUGAUGUAAUGAGUGUUCGGACUAAAUACUUCUAUCGUGUAAUUUCAAUUCAAUCUUGUUGUAAUGAGUACCUCCGACUAUUGUUGUACUAGUAGUAUUGCGAACUAUUCGGUGUUGUAUCAUAAUGUUAUCGUGAUGAGUGUUCGGACUAAACACUUUUGUUUGUUUGUACUCUUGUUUAAUAUGUGUUAGUAAUUCGCUUAUGAACAUUUAUUACUUAUGUUGAACUAAUUAUUUAUAUGUUUCUGAUCAACCUAUUUGAUGCAGGUAUGGCGUACGACACACCGGCGCUGUUGAACCGUGGGAUUGACAGGAACCACCGCUCGUUCCUGUCAGCAGUCGAGGGUGCACAGCUCAGCACCUUCCGUCCACGCACGUCGCGCGAGUGGUUGCGUGUCGACCCCCGUCACGUUCCUUGGUACGCGUAUGUUCACAUUUCAACUCAACUUUGCUUUGUUUUAUACUUAUGUUUGAAGUUUGCUCUAUACAGGUUGCGUGCGGCAGGCCUUCUACCACUUUGUAGGCUUGUUGAGGCGGCGGCGGACGACCGUGACCCAGCGAAGCGGUGGGAUGCAGACCGGUCACUCCUUGCCGCUCUUGUAGACCGCUGGAGACCUGAGACGCACACGUUCCACCUUCCCUGUGGGGAGAUGGCUCCGACACUGCAGAACGUGUCGUACCUGCUCGGGCUACCGCUGGCGGGAGCACCAGUUGGUCCCGUCGACGGUGUUUUUGGGUGGAAGGAGGAUAUCACUGCGCGCUUCGAGCAGGUGAUGCGCCUUCCACACCUAGGACCGACCACCACCCUUCCUCCGUACUCUACAGUCGGGCCUAGCAAGGCUUGGUUGCUCCAGUUCACUGUAAGUAAAUAAGUUGUUAUUAUCAUACGUGCUUAUUUGCGACCGGAUCAGUGUUUUGUACUAACAUUUCAUUCUUAACUGUAGGCGGACCUUCUGCACCCUGACGCUGAUGAUUACUCGGUCCGACGCUCCCUUGAGGCGUACCUGUUGUGGUUGUUCGGGUGGGUGAUGUUCACUAGCACCCACGGGCACGCUGUGGACUUCCGGCUGGUCCACUACGCACGGUCCAUCGCGGAUGCUCAGCCACAGGACGUGCCGCAGUGGAGCUGGGGUUCUGCCGUGCUAGCAGCCACGUACCGUGCCCUCUGUGAGGCGUGCACGAAGACUGACGCGGGAGCGAUCAUCGCUGGCUGUCCUAUGUUGCUUCAGCUUUGGGCAGCCGAGAGGUUUGCCAUAGGGCGACCAGUGGUGGACAGCGCACCCUACGGGGUUGGUCGCAGCGCGCAGUGGCCAGAGGACGGUCCCACGAUGGGGACUUACUGGUGUCGACGUGGGGUUAGUGCAACUUCGCUACGUUAUAAGUUUAUCAGUCCUCUUCUUUUUUUUUCCUUCACAUAACAUGUCUAAUUCCGAUCAUGUUUAUUGCAGCGUCGUUACGCUCACGUCCAGGUGAGACGUGGUUACCCGGACUUCGUGUUCGAGUUUGACCGUCUCCAGCCGAGCGACGUCAUCUGGGAGCCGUACACAGAAGAGGCCGUCGCUGCGAGAGCACCGCUAGGACUUUCGUCCUUGUGCACACGCGACCAGGCUUACUGGCUCACCAUCCUGCCGAUGGUGUUCGACAUUUUCGUUGAGCCUCACUGGCCGCAGCGUGUGAUGAGACAGUUCGGACUUAGGCAGGUGUUUCCCGGCAACGUGCAGCCGACCGUCCCCCCUGCCGACCACUCGUGAGUUCGGAUUGUUCAUUUCUAAAUUUUUAUGAUAAUUACAUCAUCGAGCCAUACAAUUUACCUCUCUUCACAGGUUGACUCGACGGGGACAGCUAGCAGGCGCACUUUGGGCUCCACGUGUACAGCAGUACGUUGACGACUGGGUGUUAGCUACAGAGGAGGUGAUCAACGAGCUCUUCCCACACACGGAGGAGAACUACCGUGACUACCUUCGCUGGUACCUUCCUCGCACUCGUGCGCAUGUGACCUUCACUCCAGACGCCCCAGAGCCGCACGUUGCCGCUGUCACGGACGCGUAUCCCACGCACCGUGACCGAGACUACUUCGUGGCGGUACGUCCAAUUUGUAUUACUUCCAACAAUUAUGUCAUUUAUCUUGCAUAAUAUAGGACAACUACUGAAUUUUUUAUUUCCAUCUUGCAUAGGCUGAUGCGGCACGGGAUAUCAGUGCCGAUAUCACCGCAGUCCAGGUGAGGUUGAACAGAGGUUUGCACUUGACUGACGUUGAGCAGAGGUCGACCUUCGACCGGAUGCAGGAGAAGAUGCGUGCGGUCAUGCGCGUCUUCUCCUGUCGCAGCGCCGUGGACGUCGUACCUCCAGCUGGUCCGGUACACCCACGGCCUCGCGGUCCUACCGUCGGAGCAGGACCUCGUUUGUCUUCGAGCGCCCCUAGCUUCGGAGCAGUGCGACCUACAGCACCGGUUUCGCACGGUACAGUUCAGCCCAGAUAUUAGUUCAUUUUUGUUUCAGCUUUUGCACGAAUGUGUCACCAUGUUUUAACUGCACGUUUCCUCAUCGCAGGACCUCGUAUGCCUUCGAGCGCGUUCGCAGGCACGACCGGCGCUUCCGCGAGCUCCGCAGGGGCGUUCGCCACCUCUUCAGGCGCGUUCGCCAGCUCUUCCUCUCACGGAGCGUCGAUCCCUCGCCCACACGGUACUUUACUUUUUAUUAAUACUGUUAAAUACCUAUACGAAACUGAUGGUCCUUGUCCAGCAGGAUUUGCAGCCGGGAUCUUCGGUACUGGGGCCUCUUCGUCUCACGCCGGUAGGACUGGUCCUACUAGCCAGUUCUACGACGACGACUUGCACGGUGCAGACCACCAGGACGUACUAGGCUCCUCUCAGCUUGGAGGAGCUCCAGAGGCGCACACUCAGGAGCAGCCAGAGGUCACACCUGUACAGGCAGGACGGGUUGGCCGUGCCGUACCCCCGGACCGACUCACGUACUCCCAGGGGCACAUUAGGGCGCAGGGUAGGAGGGACAGGGGUAAGAGGCCUCGUCAGUAGUGUUCUACCUCUUCAGUCCUUAUGUGACCGUUUCUUUUGGCUUACAAACUUGUAAAGCAGUACUACUUUUGCUAUUACUACUGCAGUACUACUUGUGUUUGUCUCGUCUACGUAGUUCUUUUCAUUCGUAUGGUGCUUGAACAACUUAUGCUCACAACAACACACUUUCGGCGCUUCACGGUAGUGCCAUAUCCAGUAGCGCGCACAGUCCACAACAGCACACAUGAAAAGCGGCAGCUCGAGUUAUCACUAUCAACUUUCGGCGCUGCCUGUUGACAUAAAGUGAAUCACGCCCACGCGUGAUCGUCUUGUCACAUCUAAUGAAUAAUGUAUCUCAUUGAGUUCACAUAUAUUGCAGUGAAAACGACGCUAUAUAAUUGACAAUCUGAAGGCAACCUCUUCAUAUCUUCUUUCCCACUACCACACCACACACGAAAAUGGAAGCCUAUUAAUUGGUAAUACGUAAUCUAGAAUUGAGAUUAUGUACAACAUUCUUCACUACAAUUUUACAUUUUGGCAGCAAACCAAAUAUGAUCAAUUGCAAUUUUACCUUACCAAAUAUUUGGUAGUGCCAAAACUUGCUUAUAUUUUGGCAUUAACAAAAUAUUUGUACGGUAACAUUCCAAAUAUGCCCUAAAAAAUAAUAAAAUUGUAUUUUACCAAUCUUGGAGAUUUUAAUCUUGUAUAGUUUUCAAUAUAAAAAGAUUUGAUAACUAUUGAUAUUUAUAUAAAAAAAAUAUAGAGCACAGUACAAAAUCGCCCUCCCCCAGGGCGGCAAGGGGGCCGCCUGCAAAAUUCCAUGCCCCCUCGCCGCCCAUUUGCAGGCGGGCCCCCGCACAGUGCAAAAUCGCCCUCGCGGAGGGCGGCAAGGGGGCCGCCUGCAAAUUUCCAUGCCCCCCCUCGCCGCCCAUUUGCAGGCGGCCCCCCGCACAGUACAAAAUCGCCCUCGCGGAGGGCGGCAAGGGGGCCGCCUGCAAAUUUCGUUGACGGCCGUCGCCCGAGAGCGAACGGCCGUCUGCCACGUCAUUUUCGCCGCCCUCUGGGCGGGCGAUUUUUAAAAAUCGCCCUCCCAGAGGGCGGUAGGCGACUAUUUCCGUCAAUUUUCAAAAUGGAAAAUUAUUUUUGUAAAACUUUUAAUAAAAAAAAUUAUAAAUAAAAAAAAUUCCACGUUUGUAGUACUCCAGCUAACUGUUGCGGUGCACGUGCAGCCGUGCAAAUGAUCGGUGUGUGCUAUGGCAUGGUGGGUAAUAACCUCCCGUCGCGGAGCGAGGUGGUGCAUAUGUACAUAUCCAAGGGCAUCAAACGGAUGCGCAUCUACUACCCCGACAAGGAGGCUCUCAACGCCCUGCGCAACUCCGGCAUCGCCCUCAUCCUCGACGUCGGCGACCAGUUGUCCAACCUCGCCGCCAGCUCCUCCAACGCGGCCGCGUGGGUCCGUGACAACAUCAGCCCCUACUAUCCGGCCGUCAACAUCAAGUACAUCGCCGUCGGCAACGAGGUGGUAGGCGGCACCACGGAGAGCAUCCUCCCGGCCAUGCGCAACGUCAACUCCGCCCUUGCCGCGGCCGGCAUCGGCGGCAUCAAGGUUUCCACCGCGGUGAAAUCCGACGUGAUCGCCAACUAUUACCCUCCCUCCGCCGGCGUGUUCGCGUAUACCUACAUGAAUGGCAUAGCUCAGUACCUGGCGAGCACCGGCGCGCCGCUGCUGGCCAACGUCUACCCCUACUUCGCCUACAAGGAUAAACCGUGCAUCAACCUCAACUACGCCACGUUCCGGGUGAGCCCCACAGAGAGGGACCAAAAUAACGGACUCACCUACACCAACCUGUUCGACGCC
This 27650-nucleotide long non-coding RNA is filed under the name Oryza sativa (Asian cultivated rice). RNAcentral's name for it is "long non-coding RNA (OSAT_LNC001772)". The record is from RNAcentral. Lineage: Eukaryota; Viridiplantae; Streptophyta; Magnoliopsida; Poales; Poaceae.